UACGGAGGGUGCGAGCGUUGUUCGGAAUUAUUGGGCGUAAAGCGCGUGUAGGCGGUUUGUUAAGUCCGAUGUGAAAGCCCUGGGCUCAACCCAGGAAGUGCAUUGGAAACUGGCAGACUUGAGUACGGGAGAGGGCAGUGGAAUUCCCAGUGUAGGAGUGAAAUCCGUAGAUAUUGGGAGGAACACCGGUGGCGAAGGCGGCUGCCUGGACCGAUACUGACGCUGAGACGCGAAAGCGUGGGUAGCAAACAGG
This 253-nucleotide ribosomal RNA is filed under the name uncultured bacterium. RNAcentral describes it as "partial 16S ribosomal RNA". It matches the Rfam family "Bacterial small subunit ribosomal RNA", at positions 524 to 776 of the family's 1533-position model. The record is from RNAcentral.